UUGUGCAUAUCUUUUUUGGAUCUAAUAAGUUACACAUAUCUAACUGUUGUAUAAUUAUAAUGUUAGAAGACCCACCAGAUCAAGGGCCACUAUUUUCUAAUUAACGUAGAAUUUUCUAGCCUAAUUCUCUUGCCUCUAAUUAGCCCAUCAAUCACUUUUUAUAUAUAAAUAGAUAGAUGUACUCAUGUCAUCCUGUAAUAUGAAAACCCGUUCAUGUGCGAUUUUUCAGAAAACUGUAAAUUAUGCAUCUAAAUUCGAGUUAUCAGGGAGCAUGUGAUCUGUUUGGAUAUCUCAAAGUUAGUUAUAAUUCUUGGCAGGAUCAUAAGGGUAUGAACAUAAAAUAACCUACAUGUACAAAUUGGUGGUGCAUAGAUAAUGUACAAGGACGAUACAGCUCAGAUCGAGGACGCACGACACCUAUAGAGGCACGGAGUUGAGGAAAGAACCAGUGAAAUAAGCAAAUCAUGAUCGGUCGAGGAACGAGCCAGCACUGGAAGCGUGACUGUGCGGGCAUGGUAGGGGAAUGAGCCUGGAGAUUUUCUGACCAAGCUCUUCAAUAGCAUCGCCUUCAUGAUCCCAUGAAGCACAAGCUUGAUACAGGCUACUGCUUGCACUCUGGGAUAAAACGACUAAAUUAUGGUUUAAUUGUUGGUUGCUUCAGUGACAUAGAGCUGUAAAUGUGAAGCAAAGGAGUGCCAUGCUUAGAACGUUUCGUACACUAAAAUGGGUAAUAAACUAUGUACUUUUUGUGGUUCUACAGAUUGUCAGGGUUGUGUACAUACAAUUAUUACUCCCUCCAUUCCAUACUGUAGUGGUUUUAGCCCUAAACUUUCUAAACACUCUGAAUUGGUGGAUAAAUUUGCCACCUGCGAGUUAUCUGUUUUGUA
Triticum aestivum (bread wheat) is the source of this 887-nucleotide long non-coding RNA. RefSeq lists it as uncharacterized. Lineage: Eukaryota; Viridiplantae; Streptophyta; Magnoliopsida; Poales; Poaceae. The transcript is spliced from 3 exons. The record is from RefSeq and is a predicted model, not a curated record.